RNAcentral lists this long non-coding RNA (1314 nucleotides) under Felis catus (domestic cat). RNAcentral's name for it is "lncRNA (ENSFCAG00000052956.1)". The record is from RNAcentral. Lineage: Eukaryota; Metazoa; Chordata; Mammalia; Carnivora; Felidae.
GCACCAAGCAAUGGUUUUGGCCUUGGUUCUUGUCCCCCAAGAGCUUCCGAGCAAGCUCUAAGGAGAAGCAGACCCGGAGAGUGCCCUCAGGGCCCGGGGAUCCAGCGGCCUCGCCAUCUGGAAGGCGAAGCUGUCCGUCUGGCGUCUGCAAGGACCUGUCGUGUGAACACAGGACGCUUCUUGGAAGGAGUCCCAGGCGUCAAAAGUGCUGCUCACCUGCACUGGAAAGCCAGCGCGCGCGCGCACCGUGCCUCCUGGCAGCCCCCCGCCCCUUGCCCUGCGCCCUGCUCCCCGCACUCGCUCCCGGCCUGCGGGCGCCUCCGGAAGCUCCGAGAGCCGCCCAGACGCGCGGAGGCGUUGGGGGGGGGGUAUUCAGGUGAUUGGGGGCAGUGCGGGGCGCGGGAAGCUGGUGGCGCGACACGAACCCUCCUCGGAGUCUCCGCCUACAGCGUCCUCAAACACGAGCACGGAUGUCAACGAAAGCCCCGCCGUGUCCGCAAACACCACUUGCUUCUUGGGGCUCUGCGGUUUAGGAGGUCUUGCCAGACAGGAGCGGAGGGACCGCGGGGGCCGCAGGGGCCGCAGGGGCCGCUGCUGGGAGGUGCUGUGGCUGAGGCGGAGGUGCAUGGGGGCGGUACGCAGAAGCCAGGCCUGCCGCGCGGGGACCUUUGGCAAACCGGGAAGGACGUUCUGAGGACGGGGCAGAAGGCCCUGGCGUUCUCCACGGCAGCCCAGCCCGCCCUUCCUCCUCCCUGCCAUGUCACUGCACCUCUUCUCCCUCGGGGUCCUCUGCCUGCAGAUGUCUGCAGAAACCGGGUCGAAAGCAGCACCGGCAAGCAGUGGCAGUGGGCUGGGCGCCGAGGGAGAGCCGGUCGGUUCCUGGAGACAGGGGCACUUACCCUACGUAGCUCCAGGCAGCAGCUCCUUUUCUCUGAGACCACUUUCCCGGCAGGAGCUAUUUAUGUGCCCUUGACCCCUAGAGAGCCAGCAGGCCGGGGUGCACUGGCCCCUGGGAGGCAGCCAAUCAGAAAGGCCUUUCACGUGGGACCCACUGGGGGAAAUGAAAAGGAUGUGACAACAAGUGUGACUCAGGCACUUUGCCCUGGGCCGCCAGCCCUCUGCCCCCGACCGGGCACCCUUAGGCGUAACGUCACGCUUGGGUUGUCUGCAGUUGUGGUCUGCGCUGAGGAGAGGCCGACCAGGAAGCAGACAUACUCCAGGGAAGAGAGGGUUCCCACACGCUGCAUGUCGUUUCCCCAGGGGGGUGGGGGUGGGAACAGACUGUGCCUCUCCCUCCGCACCUCUAUGCAGUGA